GAUGAACGCUGGCGGCGUGCCUAAUACAUGCGAGUCGAGCGAACAGACGAGGAGCUUGCUCCUCUGACGUUAGCGGCGGACGGGUGAGUAACACGUGGAUAACCUACCUAUAAGACUGGGAUAACUUCGGGAAACCGGAGCUAAUACCGGAUAAUAUAUUGAACCGCAUGGUUCAAUAGUGAAAGACGGUUUUGCUGUCACUUAUAGAUGGAUCCGCGCCGCAUUAGCUAGUUGGUAAGGUAACGGCUUACCAAGGCAACGAUGCGUAGCCGACCUGAGAGGGUGAUCGGCCACACUGGAACUGAGACACGGUCCAGACUCCUACGGGAGGCAGCAGUAGGGGAUCUUCCGCAAUGGGCGAAAGCCUGACGGAGCAACGCCGCGUGAGUGAUGAAGGUCUUCGGAUCGUAAAACUCUGUUAUUAGGGAAGAACAAAUGUGUAAGUAACUAUGCACGUCUUGACGGUACCUAAUCAGAAAGCCACGGCUAACUACGUG
RNAcentral lists this ribosomal RNA (497 nucleotides) under uncultured bacterium. RNAcentral describes it as "partial 16S ribosomal RNA". It matches the Rfam family "Bacterial small subunit ribosomal RNA", at positions 28 to 507 of the family's 1533-position model. The record is from RNAcentral.